GCAGUGGUGGUUCAGUGGUAGAAUUCUUGCCUCCCACGCAGGAAACCCAGUUUGACUCCCCGCCAAUGCA
This 70-nucleotide transfer RNA is filed under the name Loxodonta africana (African savanna elephant). It matches the Rfam family "tRNA". Rfam says of the family: Transfer RNA (tRNA) molecules are approximately 80 nucleotides in length. Their secondary structure includes four short double-helical elements and three loops (D, anti-codon, and T loops). Further hydrogen bonds mediate the characteristic L-shaped molecular structure. tRNAs have two regions of fundamental functional importance: the anti-codon, which is responsible for specific mRNA codon recognition, and the 3' end, to which the tRNAs corresponding amino acid is attached (by aminoacyl-tRNA synthetases). tRNAs cope with the degeneracy of the genetic code in two manners: having more than one tRNA (with a specific anti-codon) for a particular amino acid; and 'wobble' base-pairing, i.e. permitting non-standard base-pairing at the 3rd anti-codon position. The record is from Rfam by way of RNAcentral. Lineage: Eukaryota; Metazoa; Chordata; Mammalia; Proboscidea; Elephantidae.